This 347-nucleotide long non-coding RNA is filed under the name Nicotiana benthamiana. Its description in RNAcentral is "long non-coding RNA (NBEN_LNC018014)". Lineage: Eukaryota; Viridiplantae; Streptophyta; Magnoliopsida; Solanales; Solanaceae. The record is from RNAcentral.
AAGCAACUACGCACUCUACUAACCAAGGACUUUACAAUGAGCCCAUUUGGAAGAAAAUAAAUAUACAUCCCACACUUUUCAUGCCAAUAGAAAAUAUACACCUCCAAUCCAUGGUAGAAAUCAUCAAGAACUCUCCGACUCCUUUUAGAACGGAACCAAACUUGCCAGGACUGAAUCUUUCUGACUCAACCAAGCCACGCAGGCCACUAAUACCCAAGAGCAUUGCCGUAAAACACAUGCAAAAACUCAUUGCCCCAUACACACCUAAGGAACUAAUGAUAUCCUUACCAUACCGAUCCGGUCUACUGCCAAGCUAUGACACAUAUCCAAGUUUCCUUCUGAUUCAC